AGAGUUUGAUCAUGGCUCAGAAUGAACGCUGGCGGCGUGCCUAACACAUGCAAGUCGGAUGUGCCCGCAAGGGUGCAUGGCAGACGGGUGAGUAACGCGUGGGGAAUCUACCUCUUUGUGGGGAAUAACGCUCCGAAAGGAGUGGUAAUACCGCAUGAGACCAACGGCUGGAAUGCUGUUGGUGAAACCUGGGGACCGCAAGGCCUGGGGCAAGGAGAGGAUCCUGCGUCUGAUUAGCUAGUUGGCGGGGUAACGGCCCACCAAGGCAACGAUCAGUAGCCGGCCUGAGAGGGUGAUCGGCCACACUGGAACUGAGACACGGUCCAGACUCCUACGGGAGGCAGCAGUGGGGAAUUUUGCGCAAUGGGCGAAAGCCUGACGCAGCAACGCCGCGUGGGUGAUGAAGGUCUUCGGAUCGUAAAACCCUGUCGUCGGGGACGAAGGUAGCUUAGUUAACAGCUGAGUUGCUUGACGGUACCCGGAGAGGAAGCCCCGGCUAACUCUGUG
Molecule: ribosomal RNA, 507 nt
Filed under: uncultured bacterium
Lineage: Bacteria
Description: bacterial SSU rRNA
Rfam family: Bacterial small subunit ribosomal RNA
Source: RNAcentral